Molecule: ribosomal RNA, 433 nt
Filed under: uncultured bacterium
Lineage: Bacteria
Description: partial 16S ribosomal RNA
Rfam family: Bacterial small subunit ribosomal RNA
Source: RNAcentral
AACGAACGCUGGCGGCAUGCCUAACACAUGCAAGUCGAACGAGACCUUCGGGUCUAGUGGCGCACGGGUGCGUAACGCGUGGGAAUCUGCCCUUGGGUUCGGAAUAACAGUUGGAAACGGCUGCUAAUACCGGAUGAUGACGUAAGUCCAAAGAUUUAUCGCCCAAGGAUGAGCCCGCGUAGGAUUAGCUAGUUGGUGAGGUAAAGGCUCACCAAGGCGACGAUCCUUAGCUGGUCUGAGAGGAUGAUCAGCCACACUGGGACUGAGACACGGCCCAGACUCCUACGGGAGGCAGCAGUGGGGAAUAUUGGACAAUGGGCGAAAGCCUGAUCCAGCAAUGCCGCGUGAGUGAUGAAGGCCUUAGGGUUGUAAAGCUCUUUUACCCGGGAUGAUAAUGACAGUACCGGGAGAAUAAGCUCCGGCUAACUCCGUG